This 113-nucleotide ribosomal RNA is filed under the name uncultured bacterium. Its description in RNAcentral is "partial 16S rRNA". The record is from RNAcentral.
UCAUGACCGUUCUGGCACGGGGGGCCUACGGGAGGCAGCAGUAGGGAAUCUUCGGCAAUGGACGAAAGUCUGACCGAGCAACGCCGUCGUGAGUGAAGAAGGUUUUCGGAGUC